Molecule: long non-coding RNA, 1362 nt
Organism: Salvia splendens (bonfire salvia)
Lineage: Eukaryota; Viridiplantae; Streptophyta; Magnoliopsida; Lamiales; Lamiaceae
Exons: 2
Source: RefSeq, a predicted model, not a curated record
GAAGGAUCAAGAAUACUUUUGGAUUUACAUUCAUUUGUGGCAAGCAUCUUGACGUGGCCAAGAUGAGAGAUCUCCACUACGACUAUGUCGUCUUCGUCAACAGGAAGAGGUUGUCUCCAUGGCUCCCCAUCAAUCCUCAUGUGUCGUUGCAUAGGGCACGUUUAGUGUGUAGUUUGAAGACUACUGUACAGGAAAGGAAAGGAAAAAGAUAAGUAACCUGUGCAAGGCGUGUCCCAUGUCCAUUCGGGGCGAGUAAAACUAACCCAUGCCAAGCAUCUUUGAACCCUACUAUCUCGAGUAACCCGUCGUCCACAUAAGGCGAAGUGAACUCCCUCUGUCCAUUAGUUUGAGGAUGAUAAAACUAGUCGUUUUCAAGUAAACAAACAAGGAAAAAAUUGAAGGACUCUGCUCACAUCACGUCGCCUUCUUGGGUUAGGAAUCCCCCACGGGUUCAGUCCUCCAGAGAAGCUUGGUAGAUUAAGGCACACAAUAGAACGGAUGCUGCAGAGCAAGCACUUGGCGUCUCAAUGCAAAAACAACAACAUUCAAGAAUGGGCGAGUUCGAUCAUUACCUUGUAGGAAUCGGGAGGUCUAUCCACUCGCCGUGCUUUCUCAUGAUCUUAGCUCUGCAGAUCUGACCAAUAUUCCUGCGCGAGAGGUGCCUGGGUUAGCAAACUGUGACGCAGUACGAGCUCCCAAUUAGAAUGGAGUGAAACACGAGAUGAAAAGAACCUCGAGGAUGGGUGAAUUAGAGGAGCACAAAACCACCCUUGCGUGCACCCGAGCUUUGCAUAUGUGCUCUAAGAUGCAAGAAAGCAACCCACCCCUCUUAUUUGUGUUGGACAAAAAAACAAAUUUUCAUUUCGAAAGUUGGAAUCACCAUUACCUGAUUAACCAGCUGGUUCUUGAACUUGUCUGGGUUGAGUUUGCGCUCCGAGUGAAACGCAUAAGAGACUUGCGCAUCCAUUCCUACAGAGACAGAUGAAAUGGAGUCAGACUGUAUUAUGGAAGCAAACUGAAACAAAUGAGAGCACUAACCCAUGCUGAAAUAGUUCCAAAACCCUCCUUGGAAUGUGUCGCCGCCUUCCUGAAACAAAUACUAUGAUGAGGUGCUGCUGCAGUUUAUGACGAGUUUCCUGAUGAAUGAAGAGGCUUACUAGAUUGAGGUCGUCUGUUGGGAGCACGCGCUGGAUCGCGUGCAACGAGUGGGGCAGCUCAAGAGGUGUGAUGGGCUCGCAUUCGUGCUCUUGUUGUGUCUUCAUCCGCAGCAUUAUGUGCCAACUGGAAACAGACCUUGUGAAUUUUCAAGAAUUAUGAGAUGUUAAAACCGAGUUUGAAUUCAUACUCACCUGUCCAUUGCCA